RNAcentral lists this ribosomal RNA (505 nucleotides) under uncultured bacterium. RNAcentral's name for it is "partial 16S ribosomal RNA". It matches the Rfam family "Bacterial small subunit ribosomal RNA", at positions 28 to 507 of the family's 1533-position model. The record is from RNAcentral.
GACGAACGCUGGCGGCGUACCUAAUACAUGCAAGUAGAACGCACAGUUUAUACCGUAGCUUGCUACACCAUAGACUGUGAGUUGCGAACGGGUGAGUAACGCGUAGGUAACCUGCCUGGUAGCGGGGGAUAACUAUUGGAAACGAUAGCUAAUACCGCAUAAUAUUAAUUAUUGCAUGAUAAUUAAUUGAAAGGUGCAAUUGCACCACUACCAGAUGGACCUGCGUUGUAUUAGCUAGUAGGUGAGGUAACGGCUCACCUAGGCGACGAUACAUAGCCGACCUGAGAGGGUGAUCGGCCACACUGGGACUGAGACACGGCCCAGACUCCUACGGGAGGCAGCAGUAGGGAAUCUUCGGCAAUGGACGAAAGUCUGACCGAGCAACGCCGCGUGAGUGAAGAAGGUUUUCGGAUCGUAAAGCUCUGUUGUAAGAGAAGAACGGGUGUGAGAGUGGAAAGUUCACACUGUGACGGUAUCUUACCAGAAAGAGACGGCUAACUACGUG